Cygnus olor (mute swan) is the source of this 1136-nucleotide long non-coding RNA. RefSeq lists it as uncharacterized. The transcript is spliced from 5 exons. Lineage: Eukaryota; Metazoa; Chordata; Aves; Anseriformes; Anatidae. The record is from RefSeq and is a predicted model, not a curated record.
GCACCCAAACGGCUCUGUGAGCUGAGCUGCAUUUUUGGUGUUUUGUUUUACAGGUGUACCAAGUGCACUGAAUUUUACAAAACCAUGACCUGAGCCCUCUGCAUAGUACUUAUUAAUAGCAGUCUCAGCCUCGGGCGCUGUGUGCUGCAUACUAACAAGUUGUUUUCAUCCUUCCAGGCCAUGGGAACUGCCUCCACGCACGCCGGCAUCCUCAUCCACUCCUCGUGUGGUAUUUGGAGCCUGCACACAGCAACUUGGCGUGACAUGCUGCCUGCCAGAGCUUGAGGCUUGGGGCAGCCCACGGGGGACCUGCAGAGGUUUCGGUGUAGAUAUUCAGAAUACAGAAGACCUGAUUCCUGCCUACUCCUGUCCAAGAUUAUACAAUAGAAAUAAUUAAUCUGAUGAGAACUGGUUCAAGCAUGCAUGUAGCUAAAUGAUAAACCAGGCCGAGGAAAUGAUCCAUCUGAAAAGUGACUCAGAAAAACGGCAACAACAUCAACAAAACUAUCAAAGGUUACAAUGAGGAGGAUGCCUACUUCUGCCAGUAGAGAAACUCUGAAGUUAGAAGAAAACCAGUUUAGUGCUGAGAAAGCAUAUGAAAUGAAACCACAGAUCUUUGGAUUUUUCUCUUCGAGGAAAAAAAAUCUUCCAUCAUGACUAAUGUUACUUACCGUCUUCCAGAGCUAGAGGUCUAUCUUUAAAUCCUCAUGCAUGCAGACUCUCCCACAUGAAGCUCAGAUAAACCAACAAUGCUAGAGAAUCUUUUUUUUCAAAAAAGAUCCUAUUCUUUAUCAUCUCUUCAUCACCCUGCUGACUCAUUAAAGCAGAAAAGGUCACACUAUGAAUUUGACUCUGAAUAUAACAAUAGUUUUUGGAGACUUCCAAUCUUUUUUCCAGUAAGAUUCAGAUUUUGCAGCUUGACUGUGAAGGAGAGCUCUACCACUGACUUUCAAAGGUAUACCUCCACGUGGGAGAGGAGGACCAGUCAGAUCUCAGCUUUCAGUUGGCAUUUUCUACCUGAUUAUUGUACUUCCUUCCUUCAACAUAGCAUUGGCCUAGACACCACAUUCAAGGCAAAUAUAAAAUUAUAGCAAAUGAAAACUUCAGUUACUAUACUUGGAUCCAUCCUCACAUGA